ACUAGCAUGGCAUAGUGGUUUGAGUGUCAGACUGUGAUGCUGGAGACCAGGGUUCGAUUCCUGGGUUGGCU
This is a non-coding RNA of Phrynosoma platyrhinos (Desert horned lizard), 71 nucleotides long. Lineage: Eukaryota; Metazoa; Chordata; Lepidosauria; Squamata; Phrynosomatidae. The record is from the annotation of a GenBank genome assembly.